Molecule: small nuclear RNA, 107 nt
Organism: Octodon degus (degu)
Lineage: Eukaryota; Metazoa; Chordata; Mammalia; Rodentia; Octodontidae
Source: Ensembl
AUGCUUCCUUUGACAGUACAUACACUAAAAUUGGAAUGAUGUGGAGAAGAUUAGCACAGCCCCUGAACAAGGAUGACAUGCAUACUUGUGAAGCAUUCCAUAUUUUU